This 500-nucleotide ribosomal RNA is filed under the name uncultured bacterium. RNAcentral describes it as "bacterial SSU rRNA". It matches the Rfam family "Bacterial small subunit ribosomal RNA", at positions 28 to 526 of the family's 1533-position model. The record is from RNAcentral.
GACGAACGCUGGCGGCGUGCCUAAUACAUGCAAGUCGAACGACGAGACUUUAACUGAUGCUUGCAUCGACCAAAAAAUCGGAGUGGCGAACGGGUGAGUAACACGUGAGCAACCUGCCCCUGACUCUGGGAUAAGCGCUGGAAACGGUGUCUAAUACUGGAUAUGUACCACGAUCGCAUGGUCUGUGGUUGGAAAGAUUUUUCGGUUGGGGAUGGGCUCGCGGCCUAUCAGCUUGUUGGUGAGGUAAUGGCUCACCAAGGCGUCGACGGGUAGCCGGCCUGAGAGGGUGACCGGCCACACUGGGACUGAGACACGGCCCAGACUCCUACGGGAGGCAGCAGUGGGGAAUAUUGCACAAUGGGCGCAAGCCUGAUGCAGCAACGCCGCGUGAGGGAUGACGGCCUUCGGGUUGUAAACCUCUUUUAGCAGGGAAGAAGCGAGAGUGACGGUACCUGCAGAAAAAGCGCCGGCUAACUACGUGCCAGCAGCCGCGGUAACAC